UAGGGAAUCUUCCACAAUGGACGCAAGUCUGAUGGAGCAACGCCGCGUGAGUGAAGAAGGUUUCGGACCGUAAAGCUCUGUUGUUGGUGAAGAAGGAUAGAGGUAGUAACUGGCCUUUAUUUGACGGUAAUCAACCAGAAAGUCACGGCUAACUACGUGCCAGCAGCCGCGGUAAUCGUAGGUGGCAAGCGUUGUCCGGAUUUAUUGGGCG
Molecule: ribosomal RNA, 211 nt
Filed under: uncultured bacterium
Lineage: Bacteria
Description: partial 16S ribosomal RNA
Rfam family: Bacterial small subunit ribosomal RNA
Source: RNAcentral